UACGUAGGGUGCAAGCGUUAAUCGGAAUUACUGGGCGUAAAGCGUGCGCAGGCGGUUUUGUAAGACAGAUGUGAAAUCCCCGGGCUCAACCUGGGAACUGCAUUUGUGACUGCAAGGCUAGAGUACGGCAGAGGGGGAUGGAAUUCCGCGUGUAGCAGUGAAAUGCGUAGAUAUGCGGAGGAACACCAAUGGCGAAGGCAAUCCCCUGGGCCUGUACUGACGCUCAUGCACGAAAGCGUGGGGAGCAAACAGG
RNAcentral lists this ribosomal RNA (253 nucleotides) under uncultured bacterium. RNAcentral describes it as "partial 16S ribosomal RNA". It matches the Rfam family "Bacterial small subunit ribosomal RNA", at positions 524 to 776 of the family's 1533-position model. The record is from RNAcentral.